Molecule: unclassified non-coding RNA, 218 nt
Filed under: soil metagenome
Description: partial contains small subunit ribosomal RNA, internal transcribed spacer 1, and 5.8S ribosomal RNA
Source: RNAcentral
UUUCCGUAGGUGAACCUGCGGAAGGAUCAUUACCGAGUAUGCCCUCUGGGGCGGACCUCCCACCCUCUGUAAACUGACCUUUGUUGCUUUGGCGGGCCGCUCAGCUACUGGCUUCGGCUAGUAAGUGCCCGCCAGAGGAAAAUAAACCCUAAUAAUUUUUGGCAUGUCUGAAAAAAACAAAAUAUUUAAAACUUUCAACAACGGAUCUCUUGGCUCUG